Long non-coding RNA from Ziziphus jujuba (common jujube), 396 nucleotides. RefSeq lists it as uncharacterized. The transcript has 3 exons. The record is from RefSeq and is a predicted model, not a curated record. NCBI's taxonomy places the organism in Eukaryota, Viridiplantae, Streptophyta, Magnoliopsida, Rosales, Rhamnaceae.
GGCCGAUUUUAGAACGUUGAUAGAAAUCGGGUUGGAUUUAAACACCGAAAUUACCGCUGUUAAUGGUCUUCCUCGGACACAGGCGCCAAGUUUUCCCGCCAUUUUGCAAAAUGAUUUUUGAGCCUUUUCCAGGUGCUUUUAGGCUUGUUAAGCAAAUGGAAUGUUUCAUUUCUUGAGUAUCCUUGAAAGUGGCAGUGUUCCUUAGGCCAUCCUACCUUACUCGCAUCCCAAGCACUGAAGAAGUUUGCCUCACACAUUCAACAGGCAAAUUUACCACAUCUCUGCUUGUUUGCUAUUCUGAAUGCUCUCAUACUUUGCAUCACCUUUCCGAAUGUAAGUUAGCAUGGAAAGUAAUGGAAAAGGUUUAUCAAUUAAUGGAGUUCCACUUCCCUUUGA